Molecule: ribosomal RNA, 250 nt
Filed under: uncultured bacterium
Lineage: Bacteria
Description: partial 16S ribosomal RNA
Rfam family: Bacterial small subunit ribosomal RNA
Source: RNAcentral
UACGUAGGUGGCGAGCGUUAUCCGGAAUUACUGGGCGUAAAGCGCACGCAGGCGGUCUAGCAAGUCUGACGUGAAAGCUCCUGGCUUAACUGGGAGAGGUCGUUGGAAACUGCUGGGCUUGAGGCAAUGAGAGGGGUGUAGAAUUCCCGGUGUAGUGGUGGAAUGCGUAGAUAUCGGGAGGAAUACCAGUGGCGAAAGCGGCACCCUGGCAUUGGCCUGACGCUCAUGUGCGAAAGCGUGGGGAGCGAAC